CAGCAGCCGCGGGAAUACGUAGGUGGCGAGCGUUGUCCGGAAUUAUUGGGCGUAAAGGGAGCGCAGGCGGACAUAUAAGUCCAUCUUAAAAGUGCGGGGCUCAACCCCGUGAGGGGAUGGAAACUACAUGUCUUGAGUACAGGAGAGGAAAGCGGAAUUCCCAGUGUAGCGGUGAAAUGCGUAGAUAUUGGGAGGAACACCAGUGGCGAAGGCGGCUUUCUGGACUGCAACUGACGCUGAGGCUCGAAAGCCAGGGGAGCGAACGGGAUUAGAUACCCCAGUAGUCCCUGUCUCUUAUACA
RNAcentral lists this ribosomal RNA (301 nucleotides) under uncultured bacterium. RNAcentral describes it as "partial 16S ribosomal RNA". It matches the Rfam family "Bacterial small subunit ribosomal RNA", at positions 509 to 809 of the family's 1533-position model. The record is from RNAcentral.